RNAcentral lists this ribosomal RNA (405 nucleotides) under uncultured bacterium. Its description in RNAcentral is "partial 16S ribosomal RNA". It matches the Rfam family "Bacterial small subunit ribosomal RNA", at positions 30 to 526 of the family's 1533-position model. The record is from RNAcentral.
AUUGAACGCUAGCGGGAGGCUUUACACAUGCAAGUCGAACGAGUGGCGGACGGGUGAGUAAUAUCUCGGAACGUGCCCAGUAGCGGGGGAUAACUACUCGAAACGGUGGCUAAUACCGCAUACCAUUAGAGCGGCCGAGAUGGGAUUAGCUAGGUGGUGGGGUAAAGGCUCACCAAGGCAACGAUCCGUAGCUGGUUUGAGAGGACGACCAGCCACACUGGGACGGAGACACGGCCCAGACUCCUACGGGAGGCAGCAGUGGGGAAUUUUGGACAAUGGGGGAAACCCUGAUGCAGCCAUCCCGCGUGUAUGAGAAGGCCUUCGGGUUGUAAAGUACUUUUGGCAGGGAGGCGUUAUCUGCAGAAUAAGCACCGGCUAACUCCGUGCCAGCAGCCGCGGUAAUUC